CUGCAACCGGUGAAAGGGAGCCACUGGAAGCCUUUCUGACCAGAAGACAACUCAUUAUUGCUAAAUUCUUCAAGAUGGGUGAAGAGGACAACAACAGAGAAAAACAAGAAACCUCAUCUGACUCUUGUUUGGAGGAAGUGUCAACAUCCAUAACAUCUUUUUUAAUAUCUGACUCUGAAGAAGACUUUGAUAUACCUUCUAAGAAAUCUUCAUCCAUCUCAAGUUCUAUAAUGGGGAGUGAUCCGCAGAAUAAACCAUGCUCACAGGCUUCUGAAGCACAAAUAUCCGGACAAUCUUUCACAAACCUCAGAGCUGAAGAACAAGGACGAUCCAACGAAACUACACUUAUAACAUCUUUCACUGAACCUGCAAAGUUUGAUUCAAAAAUAGAUGAGUUAAUUGCUCAGCAGAAGGACACCAAUGAAAUUCUCGAAAAUAUGCGCAGUGAAAUUCACCGACUUGUGAAUGAGCAGAGAAAAAUGUGUCGCUUUUUGAAGAAAAACUUUGUAGUGCAACAAAAAUCCAUAAUGUCUACUCAGAAGAUGGCAAGAGACCACCAAAAUAUUUUGGAUCUUUCAUUAAAAAAUCUUCAUAAUAAAAUAGAUGAGCUGAACAACACUGCAUGUGAAAAAAGCUUAUAGGGUUUACUGUCCAGUGAUGAGUCAGAUGCAUCUACGCCUCAAAAAAAGGGAAAUGGGAAGAGGAAAAAAAAGAGAACAGGAGGAAGCCCAUCUUUUAUCCUGUCUAAAAAACAAGCAAAAAACUAAUAAUAGCACAGCGUAUGUACUUUUCAAUUCUUUCUUUUAAAAUGACUUUGGAUAUUCACUAUACACCUCUGUGCCUACAUCUACUAUAUGAGUCACAUAACAACAUUAGUGGCAGAGACUUAAUUAGGAACCACUGUGCCAAGGUGCAAAACUGGAGACUGAACUGCUUUCUGCCCCAUGUAUGCCAAGCUCCAUGCACUUCUAUACACACAUAUUCAAAGCUCCAAAUCCUGCGACUGAUGUAUUCCAAAUGUUUCUUUUGGAUCCUAAAAACAUAAUUAAAAUGGUAUUCCUCCCUUGCUGUUCUUAAAUAUAUUUAAAAAAUUAUAUAUUUACAAGAGUUGGCAAACAAGUCCUAAUUUUAUCAUAAAAAAAACUUUUAGAGACUCUUAAAAUAUUUUUAAAGUUAUCUUACCUUUAGCUCAAAAUACUUCUGCCAUUAUGGGCGAGGUCUGGCGAACAUGUGGGUGAUCCAACAAUUCAAAUCCAGAUUCAGCAAUAGUAGCCAUGGCAACAAAGGACUUAUUGUGUUGGUGGAAAAGGACGUUCUGACUCAUCUUACUUCGUCUCUUCUCCUGAAAUGCUUUGCUAAAUUUCCAGUAAAGUUGGCAUUGUAGUCACCUCUUAUAGUCUCUCCUUGCUGUAGGAAGUAAAUCAUCAAAAUUCCCUUUGCAUCCCAAAACAUAUUAUUUGGAUGCAAUAUAUACAAGAGUGGGGGGGGGGUGCAACUGAGCCUCCAUUGCUUGAACUGCUUUUUUUUGUUGCAGAAUCAAAGUGCUGUAUUUACAAUUCAUCCCCAGUGACAAAUCACUUACAAAGUCAUAAAGAUUCCUUUGAAUACUUAUUAGAAAUGUUCUGGUCUGCAGUAAAUAUUUAGUUGCCCUGACAAUUUUCUCAUGUUCAAAACAUACAUUUCCAUUGACUGUGGACCCAGCUAUUUUGCAUAUAGUCAAUCUAUGCUCAACUGUUAUCAUGUCAUGAACUUACUCAGUGGCUUCUUCAGUGGCAGCUGUUCCUGAGCCACCAGUGGGAGAGGCAUCUUCACAGCUUAAAUUAUCUACUGUUGUAAUCAUCAUAAUGCUGCAUGCAUAGAUUGGGAAACAUUGGCCGAUAUCACUAUUGGAUUAGACAUAUAACCUGGUUUCACAAGUUAGUAACAUGGUACAUUCAGGUUUUGGAGCCCCAGAGGCCUUUAUCCAUAUUAUAUGAACCUAUAUUUGUAUCCAAGUGAGAAACUUGGAGAUAAAGCACCAUUAGCAUUGGAACUGCUUGUAGUUUAUGCCUAGGGAAGUAAUCCGACCAAAGAAGCAACUUUAUAUCUGAUAGCACUUUAUGAGUCCCUAGGGGGCGAUUUAUUAAAUGGAGGGCGGACAUGAUUCACUGUAGUGAAUCAUGUCCGUCUGACAUCGCUAAAUGCCAACAGCAUACACUGCCGGCAUUUACCAUUGCACAAUUUGCGGACAAUCGGCCACUAGCAGGGGGUGUCAAUCAUCCCAAUCGUACCUGAUCAGAAUGAAUGAAGUAUAAGGAGCAGCAGUCUUACGACCGCUGUUCCUUAAAGGGACACUGAACCCAAUUGUUUUCUUUCAUGAUUCAGAUAGAGCAUGCAAUUUUAAACAACUUUCUAAUUUACUCCUAUUAUCACAUUUUCUUUGUUCUCUUGCUAUCUUUAUUUUUUUUUAAAAAGGGAUCUAAGCUUUUUUUUUUGGUUCAGUACUAUGGACAGCACUUUUUUAUUGGUGGAUGAAUUUAUCCACCAAUUAGCAAGGACAACCCAGGUUGUUCACCAAAAAUGGUCCGGCAUCUAAACUUACAUUCUUGCAUUUCAAAUAAAGAUACCAAGAGAAUAAAGAAAAGUUGAUAAUAGGAGUAAAUUAGAAAGUUGCUUAAAAUGUCAUGCUCUAUAUGAAUCACAAAAGAAAAAAAUGUGGGUUCAGUGUCUCUUUAACUUAAGUUUCUGGCAAGACGGAAACUACGGGGGUAGAUUACAGCAUCUGCUGCUUGGUAAAUCUACCCCCUAGACUUGUACUGUGUUUGCCUUGUUGAACGAACCAGAGUUUUAUAGCUGUCACCCCUAGACAGCUCUACAUACUUAGUAAUUACAUGGCUCUCUGACUUUCCAACUCUCAAGAUCAGUGUUAUCACUGACUUUCAUUAGCUCUAUAGAUUUCUCACCGCAGGUUCUGAUUGACUGUAUUAAACAGAAGUGACUUAACCAUAACCAGCUAUUUCAACUGAAAAGAUAAACCUAACGUAUACAUUCCCAACACAUUUUCCAGUAGUGUCCCUUUAAGGAAAAUACAGUAAUUAUAAAUCAUUCCAAAGAAACUAAAACAAGUCAUCACUUUUCUUAUUCUUGUUGCUCGUCCACCAGUCAAUAUAAGAAGAUCUCAUUGUGGAUAAAGGUCAAGCCGGACACUUUUUACAAGGCACAGACUUUAUACGCUUCGUUCUCACCAUCAGUGGUGUUAUAUGUAAUCACAAGAUUGGCCAUGAAAUAAAAUCACUACAGCCAGUACCAAAAGACACUAAAUAACAUUUUAUGUAGAACAAACACUAAAACAAACACUUAAAGGUCCAUUAUGCACCACAUUUUUCUCUGCAUAAAUGACUUGUAGAUGAUCCAUUUAUAUAGCCCAUCUGGGAGUGUUUUUGUAACAAUGUAUAGUUUUGCUUAUUUUUUAAUAACAUUGUGCAGAUUUUCAGACUCCUAACCAAGCCCCACAGUAUCAGAAGUAGACGCGCUUUUCCAGUCUACUGCUGGCUUCUGUUUGUAUAAUCUGUCUUUUCAUAUGCAGGGAAUGGAGGGGUAUCUGCAAUUUAGCCACUUUCCCUGGGUGUUCCUGCUUAUCUAAUCAACAGUGCUAAACUUGGAGCUUCUAAGUAAGUUUUAUACUGGAUUUUUAUAUCAGUAUCUGUGCAUCGUAUUCUUUAUAGUAGUGUCUAUUACAUGCGGUUAAAUGAAAAUUGGUGUAUACUGUCCCUUUAAUGACUUGAGUAUUUUCUCUAUAAAUUUACCAUUUUGUUUUUGGAAACUAAGCUAGAUUCACAGUAGAAAAAUCCCAGCAAUCCCACAGGAAAUAAAUAUGUGAGUUGUUAUUGUUCUGAUUGAGACUAUGGAACACUUAACUAGAUAUGUCUCUUUGUGAGCAAAGAGCUGUGUUUAGUACAGGGAUAGGCACAGACAAAAGCUGUGGCGGACAUUUUCCAAAGUACAGACCUUAGUGAAGGACACCAAGGUACAUUUGAAAUUAAAAACAUUAUUUUAUAGUGCUUGGUGUUAUUAUACUGAUGCAGAUACCACUGAUCCUAUAACCAGCCCUCCUCUGGCUAUACCCAUGUGCCAGUGUCCCUACUGUGUCAUUAUAUAGUGCUUGGUGUUAUUAUACUGAUGCAGAUACCACUGAUCCUAUAACCAGCCCUCCUCUGGCUAUACUCAUGUGCCAGUGUCACUACUGUGUCAUUAUAUAGUGCUUGGUGUUAUUAUACUGAUGCAGAUACCACUGAUCCUAUAACCAGCCCUCCUCUGGCUAUACUCAUGUGCCAGUGUCACUACUGUGUCAUUAUAUAGUGCUUGGUGUUAUUAUACUGAUGCAGAUACCACUGACCCUAUAACCAGCCCUCCUCUGGCUAUACGCAUGUGCCAGUGUCACUACUGUGUCAUUAUAUAGCGCUGGGUGUCAUUAUACUGAUGCAGAUACCACUGAUUCUAUAACCAGCCCUCCUCUGGCUAUACGCAUGUGCCAGUGUCACUACUGUGUCAUUAUAUAGUGCUGGGUGUUAUUAUACUGAUGCAGAUACCACUGAUUCUAUAACCAGCCCUCCUCUGGCUAUACCCAUGAGCCAGUGUCACUACUGUGUCAUUAUAUAGUGUUGGGUGUUAUUAUACUGAUGCAGAUACCACUGAUUCUAUAACCAGCCCUCCUCUGGCUAUACCCAUGUGCCAGUGUCACUACUGUGUCAUUAUAUAGUGCUGGGUGUUAUUAUACUGAUGCAGAUACCACUGACCCUAUAACCAGCCCUCCUCUGGCUAUACCCAUGUGCCAGUGUCACUACUGUAUCAUUAUAUAGUGCUGGGUGUGAUUAUACUGAUGCAGAUACCACUAAUCCUACAACCAGCCCUCAUCUGGCUAUACCAAUGAGCCAGUGUCACUACUGUGUCAUUAUAUAGUGCUGGGUGUUAUUAUACUGAUGCAGAUACCACUGAUCCUAUAACCAGCCCUCCUCUGGCUAUACCCAUGUGCCAGUGUCACUACUGUGUCAUUAUAUAGUGCUGGGUGUUAUUAUACUGAUGCGGAUCCCACUGAUUCUAUAACCAGCCCUCCUCUGGCUAUACCCAUGUACCAGUGUCACUACUGUGUCAUUAUAUAGUGCUUGGUGUUAUUAUACUGAUGCAGAUACCACUGAUUCUAUAACCAGCCAUCCUCUGGCUAUACCCAUGUGCCAGUAUCACUACUGUGUCAUUAUAUAGUGCUGGGUGUUAUUAUACUGAUGCAGAUACCACUGAUCCUAUAACCAGCCCUCCUCUGGCUAUACCCAUGUGCCAGUGUCACUACUGUGUCAUUAUAUAGUGCUGGGUGUUAUUAUACUGAUGCAGAUACCACUGAUCCUAUAACCAGCCCUCCUCUGGCUAUACCCAUGUGCCAGUGUCACUACUGUGUCAUUAUAUAGUGCUGGGUGUUAUUAUACUGAUGCAGAUACCACUGAUCCUAUAACCAGCCCUCCUCUGGCUAUACCCAUGUGCCAGUGUCACUACUGUGUCAUUAUAUAGUGCUGGGUGUUAUUAUACUGAUGCAGAUACCACUGAUCCUAUAACCAGCCCUCCUCUUGUUAUACCCAUGAGCCAGUGUCACUACUGUGUCAUUAUAUAGCGCUGGGUGUUAUUAUACUGAUACAGAUACCACUGAUCCUAUAACCAGCCCUCCUCUGGCUAUACCCAUGUGCCAGUGUUACUACUGUGUCAUUAUAUAGUGCUGGGUGUUAUUAUACUGAUGCAGAUACAACUGGUCCUAUAACCAGCCCUCCUCUGGCUAUACCCAUGUGCCAGCGUCACUACUGUGUCAUUAUAUAGUGCUUGGUGUUAUUAUACUGAUGCAGAUACCACUGAUCCUAUAACCAACCCUUGUCUGGCUAUACCCAUGUGCCAGUGUUACUACUGUGUCAUUAUAUAGCGUUGGGUGUUAGUAUAUUGAUGCAGAUACCACUGACCCUAAAACCAACCCUUGUCUGGCUAUACGCAUGUGACAGUGUCACUACUGUGUCAUUAUAUAGUGCUGGGUGUUAUUAUACUGAUGCAGAUACCACUGAUCCUAUAACCAGCCCUUGUCUGGCUAUACGCAUGAGCCAGUGUCACUACUGUGUCAUUAUAUAGUGCUGGGUUUUUAUUAUACUGAUGCAGAUACCACUGACCCUAUAACCAGCCCUUAUCUAGCUAUACCCAUGUGACAGUGUCACUACUGUGUCAUUAUAUAGUGCUGGGUGUUAUUAUACUAAUGCAGAUACCACUGAUCCUAUAACCAACUCUUGUCUAGUUAUACGCAUGUGCCAGUGUCACUACUGUGUCUUUGUAUAGAGCUGGGUGUUAUUAUACAGAUGCAGAUAAAAAUCCAGUAUUUCACUCAGGCUUUUGUUAUUCCAUAACUUAUUACCCAAUAUCGCUAGCAGUCUCUUGACAAACCACUAACUUUAUUCACACUACAUAUUUUUUUUUAUUCCUAUUAUUCAAUCAAAACAUAUACUAAGGUUGUGGCGGACACUGCAAGGGCUAGUCACGGACACCAGUGUUCUUGUACGGACACCUUGCCUAUCCCUGGUUUAGUAGGAUAGCAAACACCCAGGGUAAAUACAUUUGGAUGCAAGGGAUUCUAAAAUACACACUCACAAUACAUUAACACAACAAUGUAUUCAGGCAGCUGAGAUAUUAUUGUGGAUUCUUGAAAAAGGCCUAAGGAAGGGCUGAAACGCGUUGACAUUAUAUGGUAAGCUUCAUUCUGAUUAUUUGGAUAUCAUUUUAGCAGUAUUGCACUAUAUUGUAUCUUUUUCAUUCACAGGAUUUGCACUAAAAGCACCUUAGACUUUGGAUAUAUGUAAAUUGGAUUUUUUCUUCAAUUGCACUUUCUCAGCAUUCAAAUCAUAACUUGAAGACCCAUCACCAAGAAGGAAUAUAACACAUAACAUUUACUAUUUUUAUUUUUAUUUUUAUUUUUUCCACAAGUUUGCACGAAGCACAUAUUUUUUAAUUUUUUGUACUUUGACUUUUGUUUUUCCAAUAUUUGAGUUUUGGCUUUGUUUUUCAACAAACAAUACAUUUUUCACAUUUUUUCUUAAGUUCAUUUUUUAUAUACUUUCACUCAUUGAAUUUUGUCACUCUUUAUGCCUUCCGCUAACUUUGGGAAGGGUCCAAAUAUUAUUUCUUAAGGAUCCAUUAUCAUCUAUCCCUAUAUAUUGGACUAAGAAAUACUCUAACUUGACUAGGAAAAUUUACUUGCCAUCUACAUUAACAGGAUUAUUGCAAUAUAUUGUCAUAAUAUGUUUUAAAUUAUAUGUUUUAAUUUGUUAGUAAUCACAUGGAUCCAUGUUUUUAUUGUAAUUGGAUUUUUCUAUAACUAUAUUUGUCUGUUAGUUUUAUUGUUGAAAAUAAAUGUUAAUAUUUUAAUAUAUAUCCUUAGCCUAUUCAUAGGCGCUCCUUAGAUUCCGCCCAUAUUGUUGUGGAGUACCAGGUCACAUACACUCCAGAAUACAAUUUAAAGUAUUAACCCUAACUUACAAAGCACUCGACAGUCUAACUCCCAACUACAUUUCCUUUCUCAUCUCCAAAUAUUCCCCAUCCCGCCCUCUUCGAUCAACCUCUGACCUACGUUUCUCUACUCCUGUUAUCUCUACAUUCCACUCCCGUCUCCAAGACUUUGCACGUGCUGCUCCUGUCCUCUGGAACUCUCUACCCCACUCCAUAAGACUUUCUCCAACCUUGUAAAGCUUCAGACGCACCUUGAAAACUCACCUAUUCAAAGAGGCUUACCACCUCUCCUCCAUCUCUCAUCCAAACCAAACUAAUACAUGACCUGCCUGACUCACUGCUGCAACUACAACCAAUUUGACAAGCUACCCCAACCUUAUGUCUCUGCCCCCUAAACCUAUAGACUGUGAGCUCUCCGGAGCAGGGCCUUCUUCCUCCUGCACUAGAUUUGUUUAGUUUGUUAUGUUUUGUAUUUUAUCACAAAUCCUUGUCAUUGUAUACCCCUAUCAUUGUACCCAGCGCUACGGAAUUUUGUGGCGCUAUACAAAUAAAUAAUAAGGGUAAUCUAUUAAGGACAUACAUGAUAAUAGUAAACGUAGUAACUAUUAUGGAGCGUGCUUAGUCUGAAACUGCCAUGUUCACAUUUGUAAAAUAAAUAAACUGUUGCUUUGGCAUAUUUGAAUAUAGACACUAGAUGAUAUAUUAUGUGUACGUAUAUCUCUGACACACAAGCUCUGGGUUCUUGCAUUUAUCUAUGAAUGUGCAUAACUUUUAACAGCAUUUAGUGUCGUUUUUGCUACCAGCCUUGUGUGGCCUUUGAUUUGUAAUACUAGUAUAUGUAAUUUCCAAACAUAUUUCUGAAUAAAUUGAUUUGUAAUAAAGUGUAAAA
RNA transcript from Bombina bombina (fire-bellied toad), 8392 nucleotides. RefSeq lists it as uncharacterized. The record is from RefSeq and is a predicted model, not a curated record. The transcript has 2 exons. Lineage: Eukaryota; Metazoa; Chordata; Amphibia; Anura; Bombinatoridae.